GAUCCUGGCUCAGGGUGAACGCUAGCGACAGGCCUAACACAUGCAAGUCGAGGGGCAGCGGAGAGGUAGCAAUCCCUUUGCCGGCGACCGGCGCACGGGUGAGUAACACGUAUGCAAUCCACCUGUAACAGGGGGAUAACCCGGAGAAAUCCGGACUAAUACCCCAUAAUAUGGGCGCUCCGCAUGGAGAGCCCAUUAAAGAGAGCAAUUUUGGUUACAGACGAGCAUGCGCUCCAUUAG
RNAcentral lists this ribosomal RNA (240 nucleotides) under uncultured bacterium. RNAcentral describes it as "partial 16S ribosomal RNA". It matches the Rfam family "Bacterial small subunit ribosomal RNA", at positions 15 to 244 of the family's 1533-position model. The record is from RNAcentral.